Molecule: non-coding RNA, 468 nt
Organism: Oncorhynchus tshawytscha (Chinook salmon)
Lineage: Eukaryota; Metazoa; Chordata; Actinopteri; Salmoniformes; Salmonidae
Source: the annotation of a RefSeq genome assembly
UGAGUUGAACACUUCAUGACUGAGAGCUGUCCUUCAUGACAACAGAACCCACAACAACCAUGACUUUUAUCACCAUCUUUAUCUGGACACUUGCUUUCUGCUUCAAGGAAUCUAGAGGACAGAUCACUGUGACUCAGACACCUACAGUGAAAACUGUUCUCCCCGGACAGCCAGUCUCUAUGAACUGUAAAACCAGCAGUGAUGUGUAUCCUGAUUGUUGGAGUUCAGGUAAACCGUGUUUAGCCUGGUAUCAACAGAAACCUGGAGAAACUCCUAAACUACUGGUCUACUAUGGAAGCACCCUCUUCUCUGGGACUCCAUCUAGAUUCAGUGGCAGUGGAUCUGGGAGUGACUUCACUCUGACCAUCAGUGGAGUCCAGGCUGAAGAUGCAGGAGAUUACUACUGUCAGAGUUUACACAUCCCCAAUAGUAAAUAUGUGUUCACACAGUGAUACAGAGUCGUACAAA